GACGAACGCUGGCGGCGUGCUUAACACAUGCAAGUCGAACGGAAAGGCCUGUCCUUCCUUGUGUUGGACGGGUACUCGAGUGGCGAACGGGUGAGUAACACGUGAGUUAUCUUCCCCCAACUUUUGUAUAAGCCUGGGAAACUGGGUCUAAUUCCCGAUAGGACUGCAGGGUGGUGCCGGUGGUUGAAAACGAUUUGCUAGUGGUUGGGGAUGAGCUCGCGGCCUAUCAGCUUGUUGGUGGGGUAAUGGCCUACCAAGGCGGCGACGGGUAGCCUGGCUGAGAGGGUGGGCGGCCGCAUUGGGACUGAGAUACGGCCCCGACUCCUACGGGAGGCAGCAGUGGGGAGUAUUGCGCGAUGGGCGGAAGCCUGAUGCAGCGACGCCGCGUGGGGGAUGCCGGCCUUCGGGUUGUAAACUCCUUUCGACCGCGAGGAAGCCGCCUGGUUGGAAGGGUGGUGACGGUAGUGGUAGAAGAAGCACUGGCUAACUACGUG
This 494-nucleotide ribosomal RNA is filed under the name uncultured bacterium. Its description in RNAcentral is "partial 16S ribosomal RNA". It matches the Rfam family "Bacterial small subunit ribosomal RNA", at positions 28 to 507 of the family's 1533-position model. The record is from RNAcentral.